AAGUUUCAAUGCUAUUCUUUUGUGUUUCUAUUAAGCCAGUUGCACAGUCUAUUUAUAUAAGUCUGGAUGUAAAUCAUUCGCUUCUAUUAAACGCAAUACUGACAGAGCUUGUUAACAACGAGUCCGACAGAACUUUGUUUACUUUACUGCGUGAUGAUAGAAUAAACAUCGCUCGCAACUAUUGUAAAAGUAUAUAGUAUCCGGGAGUGCCAAAAAAAAGUAUCGGGAGUGUCGAGAGAAGUAUGUAUAGGACGUCUGUUGUAUUAGGCGUAAAUACUGUAAGUCACACCGUAAAAUGAAAACGGGAGUGCCGACAGUGAAAAAAAGUAUCGACAGUGUCGAGAAAAAUAUCAACAGUGCCAAGAAAAAUAUCAGAAAUGCUGAAAAACUAUUGGUGACUGCUUCAUUAUGCGGAGGCUGUUGAGUCGGAUACAUGUGCAAAUGCGAAUAAUUUUUUCAUUCAAGAUAAAAAAUAGGAAAAAAAUUGGAUGUAACGGAUAGUAUGAUUACGGGCUGACUCGGCAAAAUUUUCGACUAAACUUCAAGCGUUAGUGCGACCGCAAACUUUCGUUAUUUAUAGGCCAACCUGAGUCUCUUCUGAAGUGCGUUCACCGCGCGAUUGCAGCCAAAUUCCAGCGUUUAUUAUGUUACGCUACGCGUAAUGUUACGUUGUGCAAAGUAAAUCGCGUAACCGAUUUUAUUCGCACAUGUGGCCCGUAUAUUAUCACUAAUAAAUUUAUAGGUAUCGUAUUAGAAAGUACAUUACAUAUUUUAAUUUAAAUUUGAUAUAGAAUAUUUAAAAUACCAUCAUAUAAAGGGGAAACUAUAAAAUUUGUGUCAUGACAUAUAUGUAUAUAUAUGGCAGUAUGAUCAUGAUUUUUUACAAAUAUACUAUAU
Long non-coding RNA from Cataglyphis hispanica, 897 nucleotides. RefSeq lists it as uncharacterized. The transcript has 3 exons. NCBI's taxonomy places the organism in Eukaryota, Metazoa, Arthropoda, Insecta, Hymenoptera, Formicidae. The record is from RefSeq and is a predicted model, not a curated record.